UCCUUCCGAGUACUAUCAAUUACUUUCUCCUCGAUAAAAGAUGUUUACGUCCCUAAGGACUUCAUCCAUCACGCGGCGUCGCUCCGUCAGACUUUCGUCCAUUGCGGAAGAUUCUCGACUGCUGCCUCCCGUAGGAGUCCCCCCGUGCCCCCGCCCCGCCCGCCGCGCGCGGCGGGCGGGGCGGGGGCACGGGGGGACUCCUACGGG
Molecule: ribosomal RNA, 207 nt
Filed under: uncultured bacterium
Lineage: Bacteria
Description: partial 16S ribosomal RNA
Source: RNAcentral